CUUCAAAGAAAAAAAGAAAGUAUCCAAAACUUUUAAUCUUUUGCAAAACAGAAAUUUAUAAUGUCUUCCAAAGAUAACUUGUCCUGAGUGUGUUCCAAAGAAAACUUGUCCUGAGAUCUGAAAAUUGCUGUUCAAAUAAAAAACAAUGCGUGAAACUUUAACAUUUUUGAUGUUUCAAACAAUAACUCAAUUCUUUUCAUUGCACAUUCUUUGUUGGCGCGUUUGUGUGGUGUAAAGAUUUGAGUUAUUCUGAAUUUUUAAUGAAUUAAUAAUUUGAUUUGCCAUCUUCAAAGAAAAAAAGUAGAUAUAUUCAAAACUUAAUCUUUUAUCUUCAAUUUUUAAAUCAUAAUCCAUUGUACAGCAUUUUGGACCAUUAAGAGCUGGACAAGACAACCAAAGCGGGUUAUGGUGCUGAAAGUACCAUUAUUGUAAACUGGACUUCUACAAUCCAUUUGAGGGUGUAGUAAUAUCUGCUACUAUUUCCUCCCUAAGGGCGUUGUAACGGACAUAAAUUAAGGCUUAGAAAUAAGAAUGUCACAACAGUGAUGUUGUCUACACAUAGAGGUAGCGGGAAAGUAUAGGUCCUAUUUGUAGGGACAGACAGUGCCACUCUGCACGUUAAAGAACCCUUGUCACAACUCUUUUGAGGUGUCAGUAGGAUGUGGCUUGUUGCAUUAAUAGGCUAAAUUUCUGUCCAAAAAUAUCCUCUUCGGUUGGCAGUCAAAAUUCCCCCUCCCUUCACCAUAGGAUUGGACCACUUUAUAGAACCUACAAAUUGAUUUGUUGUGAUAUCAAGAGAUGUGAGACAACUAUCCUACAGAGACCAAAUGAUGUUAAUGUAAAAUAGGUUACUGUAUGGGCUUCAACAAUGAGAAAAUCCACUAACAUUAAAAUUUUGCAAUAUUCUGAUUUAGAAUGACUUGUUUAUACCUCCAAACUUUAACAUCUGAUAUUUUUAUUAUCUAGAGCUUUGUAAAAAAAAAAAGAAAAAAAAAUAUAAAAAAGAAAAUACCAAAAAAUAAUAUGAAAGCAAAAUAGAAAACAUAGUUCUAGAUAAUAAACAUUGAGGGUGGGAUAAUUUUGAUAUUUUUAUGACCCCCACCUUUAAGUCUUCUAAAGUUCUCAUAUUUAAAACAAAAAAAAUUGGAAUGGCAGUUUAAAAAGUAUAGGUCCUUUCUGUAGGGACAGUGCAACUCUGCACGUUGAAGAACCCUUGUCACAACUCUUUUGAGGUGUUAGUAGGACUUGGCUUGUUGCGUUAGGCCAAAUUUCUGUCCAAUAAUUUCCUCCUCGAUUGACAGUCAAAAUUUCCCCUACCUUCACCAUUGGCCCACUUUAUAGAACCUACAAAUUGAUUUGUUGUGAUAUCAAGAGAUGUGAGACAACUAUCCUACAGAGACCAAAUGAUGUUAAUGUAAAAUAGGUUACUGUAUGGGCUUCAACAAUGAGAAAAUCCACUAACAUUACAAUUUUGCAAUAUUUUGAUUGAGAAUGACUUGUUUAUACCUCCAAACUUUAACACCUGAUAUUUUUAUUAUCUAGAGCUCGUGAAUUAAUAAUUUGAUUUGCCAUCUUCAGAGAAAAAAAGAAGAUAUUCAAAACUUAAUCUUUUAUCUUCAAUUUUUAAAACAUAAUCCAUUGUACAGCAUUUUGGACCAUUAAGAGCUGGGCAAGACAACCAAACCGUGCAAUGGUGCUGAAAGUACCAUUAUUG
Molecule: long non-coding RNA, 1714 nt
Filed under: Mytilus galloprovincialis (Mediterranean mussel)
Lineage: Eukaryota; Metazoa; Mollusca; Bivalvia; Mytilida; Mytilidae
Source: RNAcentral